CUUGGUAACAAAAUAGUCAUUUUAAAAAAAGUCACAGAACAGUGAUCAAAUUGAGGAUAUUCCUUUAAGGCAAGGAAAACAUCAUCACAAGAACAAUGGACUUGGAAUCCUAAGAUCUGGGUGCAAACCAUGUUUCUGCCACUUAUAGCUAGUUGUCCUUAUCAGAAUAGUAAUGAGCACUUCUGUUGCCCAGGAUACACAGUAAAUCAGUCAGCUAUAGGAGGAGAUAAGGAAGUUCAGAAAUUGAUACAUAAAAAUUUCUUGGAAGGAGAAAGAAGACUCGAUAUACUUUGACCUAUCAGGGAGGCUUCUACUGGGACUGCUGGGCUGAAUUUAGGAGGAACUUGCCUGAGAUGUGAUUGGAUCCAGAGCAUUAUUCUGAGGAAGUGCCUGUAAGCGUCAUGGGAUUGCCAAAGGAAUCAGGACAUAUAAUAAGAAGUUCAAAUCAACUAUCUUAAGAAGAUAUACAAAUCUUAGCGAUCACCAUUAUUAUCACUGCAAUAAUAGAAGUUGAAAGAAAAUAGAGAUCAGAGUAAGUUGGAGCAUUCAAGAAAUGUUUCUUUGAAAAGGCAUGUGGUGAAUGUAUCAUGAAUUCUGGAGGAGGACAAGAGGAGGGAGAGGCACGGGGAAGAAAGAAUUGGCUCAUGGGAGCCAGUCAAUGUUAAAGCAAGGAGAUCAGCAGGGGACAAAAGUCAGACAAGACAGAUCAGCCAAGCUGUUCCUGCUGUUGGGAUGGCAAGUGCCGCAGAGCUGCCAAUUUGAAGAGCUUCAAUAUUUCUUGGUUGUGAAGGGAAACCUCGUGGCAUGCUCUCAAUCUGAAGGAACCACUUACAUGUAAUUUGGUUGCAUCAGGGAGAUUCUUUACCUUUUUUAUGAGCAAUAUUGUUAGAUGGCUAGAGCAUAAUCAUGCCUAAUACAGUGUUCACAAACCUUGUAAACAAGCCUUUAAGAACCUCCCAGUCUUUUCCACUUAGAUCUGAAUGAAUAAGAAACAAAUGCAAUUGUGAUGUCUAGGGAUGUCACCAGUGUGCAGAUAAGAUGACCUGCCCAUUUGCAAAUUUAUCCUUCUCAGUUGAGAGUCAGACAUUGGACCAAGCAAAGUCAGCUUAAAAAUCUUUUAAGAGGUACUGACAAUAAAAUAUUGACAAUCAAGAUAUUUCUGAUUUUACAAA
This is a long non-coding RNA of Sarcophilus harrisii (Tasmanian devil), 1172 nucleotides long. RefSeq lists it as uncharacterized. NCBI's taxonomy places the organism in Eukaryota, Metazoa, Chordata, Mammalia, Dasyuromorphia, Dasyuridae. The record is from RefSeq and is a predicted model, not a curated record. The transcript has 3 exons.